AACGAACGUUGGCGGCGUGGAUGAGGCAUGCAAGUCGAACGCGAAAGCCGCAAGGUGAGUAGAGUGGCGGACGGGCGAGUAACACGUAAUCAAGCUACCUGCGAGACGGGGAUAACCUCGGGAAACCGAGGCUAAGACCCGAUGGUCUACUUGGGCCGCAUGGUCUGAGUAGUAAAUGGACGGGAUCCUUCGGGAUCGCCUGCUCGCAGAGGUGAUUGCGGCCCAUCAGCUAGUUGGUAGGGUAAUGGCCUACCAAGGCAACGACGGGUAGCCGGCCUUAGAGGGUGGUCGGCCGCACUGGGACUGAGACACUGCCCAGACACCUACGGGUGGCAG
Molecule: ribosomal RNA, 336 nt
Filed under: uncultured Planctomycetota bacterium
Lineage: Bacteria; Pseudomonadati; Planctomycetota
Description: bacterial SSU rRNA
Rfam family: Bacterial small subunit ribosomal RNA
Source: RNAcentral